UUCGGUGUUUUGGCUGAGAACACCCUUAAAGCUUAAAAUAAAACCUGCCUCUGGGGUGCAGGGGAGGAGAGAGGAGGACGCGAAUCACACCCGCUGCUGCGCGCCAGCCCGCCCCGUCUGUACAAUGGGAUGCUCGGGACUCGGACGGGAGGAUCCAGUGACUGCGAGCCCCGCAUUCGCCCGAUCCCAGCCUCACACCCCCAGCCAGCCCCCAGAGACCCUCCCACACUUACGAAGGAAAUGCAUGCGGCCAGGAGGAGAAUCCGCACCAGGAGGUCUUCAAACUGCUCUAUCACCAGCUCCCACAGGGUCUUCCCUGGGGGAGGAGCAGGGAGCUCUACCCAGGAAAAAGAAGAAAAGGACAGAUUCAUUUGGGGUUCAGCCUCAUGCCCCCCACACCCAAGACUUUGUGGCUAA
This 417-nucleotide long non-coding RNA is filed under the name Homo sapiens (human). Its description in RNAcentral is "HSALNT0229416". The record is from RNAcentral. Lineage: Eukaryota; Metazoa; Chordata; Mammalia; Primates; Hominidae.